GUGGGGUUUAGGAUUUAGGGUUUAGGGUUUAGGGUUUAGAGUUUAGGAUUUAGGGUUUAGAGUUUAGGGUUUAGGGUUUAGAGUUUAGGGUUUACGGUUUAGAGUUUAGGGUUUCGGUUUAGGGUUUAGGGUUUAGAGUUUAGGGUUUAGAGUUUAGGGUUUAGGGUUUAGAGUUGAGAAAUGAAGUUUUGGGGAUAAG
This 199-nucleotide long non-coding RNA is filed under the name Brassica napus (rape). RNAcentral's name for it is "long non-coding RNA (BNAP_LNC019419)". The record is from RNAcentral. Lineage: Eukaryota; Viridiplantae; Streptophyta; Magnoliopsida; Brassicales; Brassicaceae.